AUGUGCCAUGCGUGCACUGCGCUUCUGAGCGCGCCGUCCGCACCCACCUGAAGAUCGCUACGUUUUGUUGGCC
This 73-nucleotide small RNA is filed under the name Xanthomonas arboricola pv. juglandis. RNAcentral describes it as "sX9 sRNA". It matches the Rfam family "Xanthomonas sRNA sX9". The record is from RNAcentral. Lineage: Bacteria; Pseudomonadati; Pseudomonadota; Gammaproteobacteria; Lysobacterales; Lysobacteraceae.